ACAGCCAUCAGCCUGUGUUUCUUAUGCACUCAACACAGCCCUUCUGUGAUAAGUUCCACUCCUUUUGUCUUAGAAUGUGUUUUAUCUGUAUCCUAGUUUAUAUUUAAGAUCUUUGUAAUUAUGAGUAUUUUUUUGUCAACUCCUUAACAUUAGUCUCGGGAGGGAUCUAUGCACCAAAGCUCUUGGGAUGAUGCUGAAAAUCAUACAGUGUUGGAAGCUGACAAGUAGGACAAAAGGUGAAGGUCACCGUGGUAAACAAAUUCAUUUAAGUCUUUCAAUAAUGUUACCCCAUGCUCCUUUCCCCAGUUCUCAUCCCAUAUGACACAUGUGGUUCUCAUGAUAACAUUGGAAGAUUAUGUAAUUGCAUGUUGGGGGAAGGCAAUGUGUGUGUGCAUGUGUGUUUGCAUGUGUGUGGGCACAUGCAUGUUUGUCUGAGUAUGUAUGAGAGAGAGAGAGAUACAUAAUUUCUGACUGAAAACAAUCUUAAACCAGGCUUAAAUGCUUUAUUCAUCUAUAGGUUUCUGAUGGCAAUAAACAAUAAAAAUCUUUCCAACUACAGCCAUGAUCACACAACCUUUGUCUCUCAAGUUUUCUCCCGGCCACAACCAAGAUGAGGAUCGUGGCACUAAUAUAGUGGUGUCACUCUCAUGGAAGGGUCAAACAUUAUCUUGGACAUUAGUUGGAGAAAUGUUCAUUGCUGGUUCACCAGGUCAGUACCAGUUCCCAGGGUAGAGGAGGAGGAGGAAUUAAGGUUGAACAGGUCCAAGUGAACGAACUCUCUAAUAGGGAAAGCUUAUGCCCUCCCUUGAAACAGGGGCAUUUAAGAUGGGGACAUAUUAAUUACUCCAAGGCAGUUUGGGGCCAAUAUUUGAUCCUCCAUGAUUACAGGCCAAAGAAUUUAAUGGUCAGCUCCUCUAGAUGCUAAGACCCACAUUUAUACCAAAAAUGAACACCCUCAACAAGUGUUUAAGUUAUCUGAGAACAAACUGUUCUAGGCAUCUUCAUACCACACCCACAGCCUAGAAGAGUUCCUUGCAAAGGUGAAAUGCUCAAGCAACAUUGUUUGAACUGGUAAUCAAGAGAACAAUUAAUAACUUUCCCUGAAAUGCUUUGCUUUAAAGCAGACAGAUCCUUUGUGUUUUUGGUUUCUCAUACCUUUCUUAUCCAGAUCAGGAAUCACUGAGAAACUGAAUUUAAAUUUGAAGUUUGCUUGGUAAAUACAGUUGGCUCUCCAUACCCCCAGGCUCCACAUCCGCAGAUUCAACCAACUACAGAUUAAAAAUAUUCGGGGAAAAAAGAGUCCAGGAAGUUCCCAAAUGCAAAACUUAAAUUGGCUGCACCCUGGCAACUAUUCACAUGGCAUUUACAUUGUAUUUACUACUAUUUACACAGCAUUUACAUUGUAUUAGGUUUGGUAAGUAAUCUAGAGAUGAUUUAAAGUAUAUAGGAGGAUGUACAUGGGUGAUGUGCUAAUAUUAUGCUAUUACAUAUAAGGGACUUGAGCACCUGGGAAUUUCUGGUAUUGUGGGCAGGAGGCGGGCAGCUGAGGGUAUCUGGAACUAAUCUCCUGUAGAUGCCAAGGAAUGACUGUAGAGAAUCAGAGAAAUGGAAACUGUGUAGCCUCAAGAGAUGAUAUUUUCAUCAAGCUAUUAAGCCUCGUGGGUCAUUCCUCUCCACUGAAGGGUUAUGUUUGCCAAUUUUAUCAUAUGUUUGUGGUCCCUUAUCAAGUUAUCCUCUUUCCUUUGAAUGUUGUUCUUUUCCUGGAAAUACAUUCAUUCUUAUCCUUUUUUUUUUCCGGAUUCUAUAAAAAUCUUAUUGUUUGUAUUUAUUAUCAUUUUCCUCAUUUUUAUUUAAUUGUCAUUUUUUUCCUGCCAAUUUCUAGAACAUUCUCCCAAUGAACUUCUUGAUUUUAAGGUUUAAGAUCUGUAUUUCCUUGCCUACCCUGCUGAUAUUCUGAUUCAAUUUGAUGCAUGGCCAGGAAUUAACUGCAGAGUGGAUAUGACCAUCCACGGUCCCUGCUUUUAUCCUAUAGUGUCAGUGCUACGUUGAUGAGCUUUAGAGAGUCACAGUGUGAGAUGGCCAUGUGCACUAGACUUCUUGGAUUCACAUCCUGCCCUGACUUUUGCUAACUAUGUGAUCUUGAGCAUCAAUUUUCUAAAUCCCUUUGUGACUGUUUCCUCAUCCAUAAAAUACAAAUGUUAAUAACAGCUUCUACUUGGUGGGAUUAUAGUGAGAGUUAAAUGAAUCAAUAUGCUUAAAUUUCUUAGAAUAGUCCCUGACAAACAAAACACACAAACAAAAACAAUGUGUUUGCAAUGAUUAUGCACUAUUUUCUCAACCAGUAAAACCUUCAUAUUUAUUUCUUUUCAACUACCUGUAGGCACAGACACAUCUUCUAUGUUAUCAUCAUGUGGGUAGUCUUCAUUGUCACCUCAUUUUCUGACUCUGUUAGUCAUGGAGAUGUGGAUGAACAAUAAUACUUCCUCAUGUUCAUUUGCUCAUUCAUUUGCUCACUAAACAGAUAUUUACUGAGUACAUACUCUAAGCCAGGCUUUAAGGUUGGAGAUACAACAAUAAACAAGAUAUGGGAAUAAGGCAUCUGACCUCAUAAAGCUCUUAUAGAAGAGAGAGGCUUAUACAAAUGAAGUAAUAAAGAAACAAGAUAAUUACAAGAAAUUGUGAUACAAGAGCUAUAAAGAAAACGAAGGAGAUGAUCAUUUGUGAACACAAAUUUGUGACUCAUCACGAGCAGGGAGACAGCAUUUCAGGCUAAUGAGGCCAGUGAAAAGAUCCAAAAAGAAAACAACCAAGAAAGAAGCCAAAAGGGCUUGAUGGUUUGAGAAAUAGAAUAAAACCCUAUGGCUGUUAUUUUAUGAGAUGCGGGAAUGUGCUAGAAAUCUACUAAUGGAAGACGAUGGAAGCCAUGCUUAGGAGUUUGGAUUUUACCGUAAUCAAAGCAGGCAUCAACUGAAGGGUUCUCAAUAUGAUCUCUAUGUUGAGGGGAGAACAGGUUUUAGGGGAAAAAAGCAAAUAUUGGAGUCUCAUCAGGAGGUUAUUACCAUAGUCAAGGCAUAUAGAUGAUGAGAGACGGACAAUUUAAAGCAUAUUUUGGAUGUGAAGCAGACCAUCCACCUUCCAAGGAAAUGGGUGUGCACCUUAACACUGAGAAGCCACUUUCUCUGGACUCCAAACAGCAAGGCAGGUAGAUGACAUGUCCACUGGUGUGGGGGCAGGAGUCACUUAGAAUCAUUCUGUUUAUUUAAAUUAUAAAGUAUAUGAAUUAAGAGAGAAAAAAAACUGGAUCCCAAAUCUAAAUUUACUAACAAAUGAUUAUAUGUGAUCCAAAAGUCCUUUUCCAGCCAGAAUUAUAAAGUAGGUAAUGUUUGUCUUUGGCUUCACAAUGCAUACUUUUAAAAUAUUAUUAAUAAUUUUUGAGCAUUUACUAUAAACAAAGUGCCCUUCACUCUUUUUUCCAUUUAAUUCACCACAGAUCUUUAGGCAUUUACUCUUGCUUAUGCCCAAUUUUAUAGAUGUGGUGAAACUGAAUCUUAGUGAGGUAACUUUUCUAAGAUGACGAACCCGGAGACAACACAGCUAGGAUUGAAUCCUGGUGACUGACACAGGAGUCUUAAUAGAACCACUAUUUUAUACCAUUGAUAGCACUCCCUAACUCACUUUCUCUCUCUCUCCCUCUCCAUCUCUCUUACACACACAUACACACACACAAGAUUGCCUCAAAGAGAAUCUAUUACUCUCAGUCUCUCCAAAUCUACUAAAGACCUAUCGAGUUUUGAUAAAUUACAUCUUUCAUCCCAAUAGUAGGAGCACUAAUUGUGAAAAUCAAGCUUGAACAAGGCAGUAGAAUAGAUACUUCCUGAAACAGAGCAGCCUUACUGGUACCUCUGAAAGCACAUCAUAGCCAGCCCUGUGGAUAAAUGUGGCCUGAGCCAGGAAAGGAUAAAUGAUAGAUGAUUUGGAAGAAAUAAAUGACAGGAGCGUUAAAAUGUUUUAGGGCAGGGGACAUUCAAAUAAAUGCUAUUGGAUGAUUUAUUUUCCAAUAGGUGUUAUAUUCACUGCUGAAACACACCUCCAUGUCUGCCAGAAAUGUGGCCAUAAAAAAAUCUAUGUGUAUAAAAAAUUUACACUGUGGCGAGCCAACCUCAACCUUUCAUUUACUAAAGCCACCACCUUCAUUCCAAAAACACAUUUCCAACUUUCUCCUAGACUUCAGCACCUGGAUAUCCACAGCCACUACCUCAAGCAGGAUUUAAUUCAAAUUCAGCUCAUUAUCUUCUCUCCAAACAUUUAAUAUUUGAAAUCUGAGUUAAUGCCUCAUUUUGGCAGUUGCCAAUGUUAUAAACUUCAAAGGUUUCAUGACUGCCUCCCUGACCCUCACUCAGCUCUCCAAUUCUAACCCAACACCAUAGCAAAUAGGGAGAAUUCUCCUCUCCAAUUAUCUCACACAUCUACCCCUCUUUACCAUCUGUACUGUGACUCAUGUAGUUCAAACUUCAAUAUGCCUCAAAGACAAUAUCUCAGGCCAGGUUGUCUAAAAAUCAAAGGCAAAGCCAAAAUACUAAUGCUUUAUUGAGAGGAAAAGUGAAGGGAAAGGGAAAGGAAAAGUGAGGCAGGGAAGAAGGAAAAAGAAACACAAGAUGAUCUAUUUCUGAACUGGCACAACUUCUCAAGGAAAUCCAGGCCCUUCCUCAUUUCCACAAGACAGGAUGAAAACACUGCUAGGAAGAGCCUAUGGGAGAGGAAGGGUAAGCAGAUUUGCUGCUAACCCUGUCUUCCAUCUCUCAUGGGUCAAAGUCCACUCCUUUGGGCUUUAACUUUCUCACAUACCCAUCUUGGACAGCCACUGAGUAGAACCUCCAAGGACCCACUCAAGUAGGAGCUAAGCAUCAGGGCCACCACGGCUGCCCAAUUGCAGUGGGCAUGAAGGCUGUGCUGAAGCCCAGCCCUCCACUCCUGGGUAAGGUGUAACAACUGGAGGUUUGGGGCAAUAAUGUGACUCAGAUCACAUGACAGAACAGUGUGAGCAGUUGCUGGGACCAAUCUGGACAGAACAUAAAGCAAAUUGUUGAGAUCAGGGUAGGGAGCAAGAUGAUUUGGGAUGACACAAAUGGAAUCUGAUGAAGUUUACUCAGUGAUAUUCAGUUCUGCUCACAUCCUCUGAUACAUUAUGGAUCUUAGAUGUAUAGAAGAUACUCUCACUUCUUCCCCAAAUCCAGUCAUCCAAGGUUGUGCCUGUUGCCAUCUCCUAAAACAGCUCAAAAAGCAUAAUAAGCCCAAGUUACAUUCUCAGCUGCUAUUCUGACAUUUAUCAUAUCUCUCUUCUACCCAUUUUAGAUUUUCCUUAUCCUUGGCCAGAACACCAGCUAGUCUGUAUUUCUUAUCUGGGGAGUGACCUCGACCUCCAUUCUGGAAGAGUGUGAGCUAUAGUUUCCUUGUCCUUGUCAGGAUGUAGUUGCUACAACAGCCUGUUUAAAAUUAACAGAGGCACAGAGGCAGCAAGGGAAGACCCCGUGGACCUCCUCCAUUCCAGAUCUGUUCCUUCCUGCCCUCCUUUUACAGUAGAAGCUGUACGAUCUGAGAGUAGUCAGAUCAGUUACCUUGGCCUGUAGAGUUCCUUCUUUUCACCUGCUGAUUUAUUGGCACAGAAACCCCACAGGGACCAAGCAGUAUUUACAGCUUUCAGUUCUAACCCUAUAGAGCCUAAAUUUUCUAGGAUAAGAGGUAAAUGAAAGAAAGAAAUGUAGUGAAAAUAGACAAACUCAACUUCUGUCCUUUCAUUCUUCAUCCUAAAUAGUUUUGCUGUAAGGGACAUGGCUCCAUAUCCUGGUAGUCGUUAUAUCAAAUACACUGCCCUAACCCC
RNAcentral lists this long non-coding RNA (5878 nucleotides) under Sus scrofa (pig). RNAcentral's name for it is "lncRNA (ENSSSCG00000052040.1)". Lineage: Eukaryota; Metazoa; Chordata; Mammalia; Artiodactyla; Suidae. The record is from RNAcentral.